This 433-nucleotide ribosomal RNA is filed under the name uncultured bacterium. RNAcentral describes it as "partial 16S ribosomal RNA". It matches the Rfam family "Bacterial small subunit ribosomal RNA", at positions 29 to 507 of the family's 1533-position model. The record is from RNAcentral.
AAUGAACGCUGGCGGCAUGCCUAACACAUGCAAGUCGAACGAAGGCUUCGGCCUUAGUGGCGCACGGGUGCGUAACGCGUGGGAAUCUGCCCCUUGGUUCGGAAUAACAGUUAGAAAUGACUGCUAAUACCGGAUGAUGACGUAAGUCCAAAGAUUUAUCGCCGAGGGAUGAGCCCGCGUAGGAUUAGCUAGUUGGUGUGGUAAGAGCGCACCAAGGCGACGAUCCUUAGCUGGUCUGAGAGGAUGAUCAGCCACACUGGGACUGAGACACGGCCCAGACUCCUACGGGAGGCAGCAGUGGGGAAUAUUGGACAAUGGGCGAAAGCCUGAUCCAGCAAUGCCGCGUGGGUGAUGAAGGCCUUAGGGUUGUAAAGCUCUUUUACCCGGGAUGAUAAUGACAGUACCGGGAGAAUAAGCUCCGGCUAACUCCGUG